This 440-nucleotide ribosomal RNA is filed under the name uncultured bacterium. RNAcentral's name for it is "partial 16S ribosomal RNA". It matches the Rfam family "Bacterial small subunit ribosomal RNA", at positions 338 to 795 of the family's 1533-position model. The record is from RNAcentral.
CCUACGGGAGGCAGCAGUGGGGAAUAUUGCGCAAUGGGCGAAAGCCUGACGCAGCGACGCCGCGUGAGGGAUGAAGGUCUUCGGAUCGUAAACUUCUAUCAGCAGGGAAGAAAAUGACGGUACCUGACGAAGAAGCCCCGGCUAACUACGUGCCAGCAGCCGCGGUAAUACGAAGGGGGCAAGCGUUAUCCGGAUUUACUGGGGGUAAAGGGAGCGUAGGGGGUUUAGCAAGUCAGAAGUGAAAGCCCGGGGCUCAACGCCGGGACUGCUUUUGAAACUGUUGAACUAGAUUGCAGGAGAGGUAAGUGGUCUUCCUAGUGUAGCGGUGCACUGCUUAGUUCUUAGGCGGAACCCCAGUGGCGACGGCGGCUUACUGGACUGUAACUGACGCUGAGGCUCGAACGCGUGGGGAGCAAACAGGAUUAGAUACCCGUGUAGUC